UUUAAUGAGAGUUUGAUCCUGGCUCAGGACGAACGCUGGCGGCGUGCCUAAUACAUGCAAGUAGAACGCUGAUGUUUGGUGUUUACACUAGACUGAUGAGUUGCGAACGGGUGAGUAACGCGUAGGUAACCUGCCUCAUAGCGGGGGAUAACUAUUGGAAACGAUAGCUAAUACCGCAUAAGAGUAAUUAACACAUGUUAGUUAUUUAAAAGGAGCAAUUGCUUCACUGUGAGAUGGACCUGCGUUGUAUUAGCUAGUUGGUGAGGUAA
This 269-nucleotide ribosomal RNA is filed under the name Streptococcus agalactiae GB00300. RNAcentral describes it as "partial 16S ribosomal RNA". It matches the Rfam family "Bacterial small subunit ribosomal RNA", at positions 1 to 260 of the family's 1533-position model. Lineage: Bacteria; Bacillati; Bacillota; Bacilli; Lactobacillales; Streptococcaceae. The record is from RNAcentral.